AACAUAUAUUGUGAUCCUUCCCUCAAAUUUCUUUGCACCACCAGGCCCCGCAUUUGACAUCACCAUCGCCGGCAUCUUGUCCUUCCUCUCUCGGCUGCAAUAUUGCACCUGGUUUACACAAAAGACCAAGUGCAAGAUUGUCCGAAGAGGUGAAGAAAAAAGGAAAACAGAAGAUGGGGAUGCCAACUUGAAAGGAGACAAGAAAAAGGGUGUAUAUAUAGAGGUCUUCG
Molecule: long non-coding RNA, 230 nt
Filed under: Musa acuminata (dwarf banana)
Lineage: Eukaryota; Viridiplantae; Streptophyta; Magnoliopsida; Zingiberales; Musaceae
Description: long non-coding RNA (MACU_LNC008199)
Source: RNAcentral